AAUGAACGCUGGCGGCGUGGCUAAGACAUGCAAGUCGAACGAUACGGUCGAUUGGGUAACCGAGAGAUCGUAUAGUGGCGAAAGGGUGAGGAAUAGAUAGGUAACGUACCCCGUGCUUCGGGAUAGCGUUCCGAAAGGAACGGUAAUACCGGAUAAUAUCAGCGAUUGCAGGAUUGCUGAUCAAAGAUUUAUCGGUGCGGGAGCGGCCUAUCUCCUAUCAGCUAGUUGGUGAGGUAAUGGCUCACCAAGGCGAUGACGGGUAGCGGGACUGAGAGGUUGACCCGCCACAUCGGGACUGAGACACUGCCCGGACCUCCACGGAGGGCUGCAGUAACGAAUAUUGGGCAAUGGGCGAAAGCCUGACCCAGCGACGCCGCGUAUAGGAUGAAGUUCUUCGGAAUGUAAACUAUUGUCAGGGGCUCGAAAGCCGUAAGGUUGAUCAGCCCCAGAGGAAGUCACGACUAACUUCGUG
Molecule: ribosomal RNA, 472 nt
Filed under: uncultured organism
Description: bacterial SSU rRNA
Rfam family: Bacterial small subunit ribosomal RNA
Source: RNAcentral